Molecule: long non-coding RNA, 351 nt
Organism: Oreochromis aureus
Lineage: Eukaryota; Metazoa; Chordata; Actinopteri; Cichliformes; Cichlidae
Source: Ensembl
GGGGUUAGUGAGUCCUGAGUGAUUCGCUUAUGCUAUGAUUCAGCACAGCAAGGGAGGGGGUAAAAUGAGUGUCCUUACCUGUGGUAGAGAGUGCCCAGAGGAGAAACAGAGAAAACAGCAGCUUCAUUGUGAUGAACAGAUGAAACACCUGAACCACUGUCUGACAAAUAUUAACUAUAAAAGGAAGCCUUUGGCUGCUGAGGAUGAAACUGCAAGGGCAAACAACCUGAACUGUUAUUAUGUCCAAUUGGAAAUAGACACUUUCAAGGAAUACCUUGAUAUCUCGGACAAUGUAAAGUACAAUAAAAAUAACACGACAAAUUUAUGCACUGUUAUAUUUUUUUCUUUAAC